Molecule: long non-coding RNA, 253 nt
Organism: Helianthus annuus (common sunflower)
Lineage: Eukaryota; Viridiplantae; Streptophyta; Magnoliopsida; Asterales; Asteraceae
Exons: 2
Source: RefSeq, a predicted model, not a curated record
GGCAAGGAAGCGGUUACGAGCACGGAUGCACAAGGUUGUAUGAGUCACGGAGGAUUACUGAGAAGUGAAGAUCGAAGACCGAGUCUUAAGUUAUAUUGUACGGGAGUGUUUGAAUAAGUAAUGUCAUAAAUAUAAUUUAUGUUUCUAUUUGUAAAUAAGUUCGAUGGGAGUAUUCAGUGUAACAGUGUCACUUUAAAAAUUAACUUCAAGUAAGUCAAGACGUUUAAAAUGAAAGAAAUUUUAUGGUAUGAAA